Molecule: transfer RNA, 75 nt
Filed under: Bacillus sp. AFS073361
Lineage: Bacteria; Bacillati; Bacillota; Bacilli; Caryophanales; Bacillaceae
Description: tRNA-Val
Rfam family: tRNA
About the family: Transfer RNA (tRNA) molecules are approximately 80 nucleotides in length. Their secondary structure includes four short double-helical elements and three loops (D, anti-codon, and T loops).
Source: RNAcentral
GAUUUGGUAGCUCAGGGGGAGAGCACUUGCUUGACAGGCAAGGGGUCGUGGGUUCAAUCCCCACCCAGAUCAUCA